UACGUAGGGAGCAAGCGUUGUCCGGAUUUACUGGGUGUAAAGGGCGCGUAGGCGGGAGAGCAAGUCAGAUGUGAAACCUCCGGGCUUAACCCGGAAACUGCAUUUGAAACUGCUUUUCUUGAGUGAUGGAGAGGCAAGCGGAAUUCCUAGUGUAGCGGUGAAAUGCGUAGAUAUUAGGAGGAACACCAGUGGCGAAGGCGGCUUGCUGGACAUUAACUGACGCUGAGGCGCGAAAGCGUGGGGAGCAAAC
Molecule: ribosomal RNA, 250 nt
Filed under: uncultured prokaryote
Description: partial 16S ribosomal RNA
Rfam family: Bacterial small subunit ribosomal RNA
Source: RNAcentral